AUUGAACGCUGGCGGCAGGCCUAACACAUGCAAGUCGAGCGGAGCGGCGGACGGGUGAGUAAUGCCUAGGAAUCUGCCUGGUACUGGGGGAUAACGUCCGGAAACGGGCGCUAAUACCGCAUCCUAUCAGAUGAGCCUAGGUCGGCUUAGCUAGUUGGUGGGGUAAAGGCCUACUAAGGCGACGAUCCGUAACUGGGCUGAGAGGAUGUUCAGUCACACUGGAACUGAGGCACGGUCCAGCCUCCUACGGGAGGCAGCAGUGGGGAAUUUGGGACAAUUGGCGAAAGCCUGAUCCAGCCAUGCCGCUUGUGUGAAGAAGGUCUUCGGGUUGUAGAGCACUUUAAGUUGGGAGGCGUUACCUACAGAAUAAGCGCCGGCUAACUUCGUGCCAGCAGCCGCGGUGAUUC
This 407-nucleotide ribosomal RNA is filed under the name uncultured bacterium. Its description in RNAcentral is "partial 16S ribosomal RNA". It matches the Rfam family "Bacterial small subunit ribosomal RNA", at positions 30 to 526 of the family's 1533-position model. The record is from RNAcentral.